CAACACUCUAACCACUAGGCUACCCUGCCGCCCCAAAUAUGCUGGACCCUAUGUCAGAUCGAUGUUUCUGGGACCACACUGUUUCUUUCAAGACAAUAACCCAAAACACACUGCAGCCUGGGUUUAUAUUGCAAAUGAGGGCAUAAACUGGGUCAAGAUGCCAGCAGAAGGGACCAAAACAGAAUGAUAACAGUGUAACUGAGAGCGGCUGUUUGGUGACAAUUAAAUGCACCAUACAAGAAUUUGGGUAUUAUUGCAAAGGAAGAUACAUUUGGGUCAUUUUCUGUGAUCAAAGUAACUUAAUUGCCGCCUGUGGAAACAGAUGUCUCUACACCUUUCAUUAUGCAAGGCUAGGCUGCAAGAUCCAACGCUCAUACUCUGCAGGAGAUUGGAACAGAAUGUCCAUUUCAAUGCACAACAAGACAGGGUGAUUCUAAACACUGGAGAAAAAAGUGAUUUUCCUGGGACACAAAAAAAUACACUUAAUUUCAACUUGGUCAACAACAAUUGGAACAGGAACUUGAUAGGAAAUUGCUUUAAUGUUGUUGACAAAAUGUGCUACUAAAUAUAUGUACUGUGGGAUAUGGUGGUGUGUUGCUUUGAUCAGCAUUGCAAUGAGCCUUCUUUGAAUAAUCACGCUGAGAGCUUUGAACAGGAGAACAUUAUUUACAUAUACAUUAGAAAAUAAAAUCAUCUGAAGAAUCUGACUCAGAUUGAAUAGGGAAAUAAUUAUCUUGUUUGCAUUGGCGUAUGCAUUUGGAAGAUAUCAUCAGCAUCACAUAGACCUUAUUUGUUGUCCCUAAAAUGCACAGUACUGUACAUCACUCCAUCUUUAAUAGUAUGGGUCAAACAACAAACAAGGCUCAGAUGCAACACUUUGUAGUAUUCUCUCUGUUCAAGAUAAAUCAUGAAUUAAUCAACCACAAGCAAUUACAUACACAACAUACACUGUAAUAUAUAGUGAAUAUAUCAUGCAGUGCAUUUGAUGAUCAUCUAACGUAGGCUCAGUAGAGAAAUGACCUGAGUUGAAAUCCUUUAAAAUACUUUAUCUGUGCUUGAUUGAGCUUGUCUGGGUCAAUUGACCAAUAGAACAGUCCUGAAACUGCAAGCUCCGCCCAUCUGAUACUCCAGGUAGACUAGAGCAAAUGCUCAAAAUAUUUGAAAGAUUUCAAAUAGAAUUUGAAACCAGGUCUGCUAGAGAAUCCAGUACAUCAUGUCAUAAAUGUUUAUCAGUGGAUCUUAAUAGGAUGUGUUAGCCAUCC
RNAcentral lists this long non-coding RNA (1262 nucleotides) under Salmo salar (Atlantic salmon). RNAcentral's name for it is "lncRNA (ENSSSAG00000105450.1)". Lineage: Eukaryota; Metazoa; Chordata; Actinopteri; Salmoniformes; Salmonidae. The record is from RNAcentral.